Molecule: long non-coding RNA, 500 nt
Organism: Notothenia coriiceps (black rockcod)
Lineage: Eukaryota; Metazoa; Chordata; Actinopteri; Perciformes; Nototheniidae
Exons: 4
Source: RefSeq, a predicted model, not a curated record
ACGGCGCUCUCUUCACCGUGUCGACUCAUCUCUCAGGUACUAACUUCAGUAAGGCUGCCUAACAUUUUGACAGAUCAUCUACCCUCUGGAAAUGGAAGAGUGCAUGAACCUAACUGGAUUGGAAAUCUCUCUGGUUUCCAUGUAUGCUGUCUUCGACGGGAACAAAAAUGAAAAUGGAAAAAUGGACAAGGAUACUUUUUUGAGAGUGUUGAAGGAGGAACUGCCUUUCUUUGCGCAAGUGGCAGCUAAGAACAAUUGUGACAUGUUCAGCAAAGUGGACCUUGACAACGACGGGUUCGUGGACUUUGAAGAGUUCUCCAAAAUGGUUUGCGGUUGUGCUUGUGCCAGCCAUGACACUUUGGAGGAAGCCCAAAAAAAACAUGAGCAGGAGAAGAAAUAAAACAAAUGACCGUUUAUGAACAUGGCUAAUACUUUUUCAGUACUUUCUGACAAAUGUGAUUUCACCUUACAAUAAUAAAAGUGUUUUUGUUCCAGUAUUA